This 406-nucleotide ribosomal RNA is filed under the name uncultured bacterium. RNAcentral describes it as "partial 16S ribosomal RNA". It matches the Rfam family "Bacterial small subunit ribosomal RNA", at positions 30 to 526 of the family's 1533-position model. The record is from RNAcentral.
AUUGAACGCUGGCGGCAGGCCUAACACAUGCAAGUCGUGCGCGCGGCGCACGGGUGUGCAAUGUCUGGGGCUCUGCCUGACGGAGGGGGCUAACUACUGGAAACGGUAUCUAACACCGCAUACCAUCAGAUGAACCCAUAUGGGAGUCGCUUGUAGGUGAGGUAACGUCGCACGUAGGCGACGAUCUCUAGCUGGUCUGAGAGGAUGAUCAGCCACACUGGGACUGAGACACGGCCCAGACUCCUACGGGAGGCAGCAGUGGGGAAUAUUGCACAAUGGGCGCAAGACUGAUGCAGACAUGCCGCGUGUAUGAAGAAGGCCUUCGGGUUGUAAAGUACUUUCAGUCGGGAGGCGUUACCGACAGAAGAAGCACCGGCUAACUCCGUGCCAGCAGCCGCGGUAAUAC